UUUAGAGUUUCAGAUUCUCGCCUAGACUGGACGACUAGCCCGCUUGCCCAGAUCGUGAGCUUGAGCGUGAGAAGCCGCGUCUCUGAUACCGAGCAGGGUGGGCCCUCGAAACACUGCUCCUGUCCGGCCCGUGCCGUGCCCCUCAGCCCGAGACAAGCGGACGGAGCAGCCCUUCCAUUCCCAGGCCUCGAGGGUGUCAGGUCAGAGGAGGGAGGGCAGGUUCCCACUCCCACAGCCGAGAGCAAACCCCAAAGCCAGAAGCCACCGUGACGCGGCUGCCCCCGCUCUGGGGGCUGGGGACCUUCUCACCAGAGACCCCAGGCCGAAUGCCCCUCUGGCUGGCCGCACGGCGGGCACCUAUCUGCCGAACAAGCACACAUCGACUCAUCCCACGAACAAACAAGCCGAAGACAGGUCCCAGAACCAGAAGGGCUCCCACCGCCCGGCCCCAGCUCCCCGAGACGGGGUGUGUGUCCUGCCGCACCGCUACGAGCACCCCACCAGCCCGGCCCGCACCCGGCCUCCAGGCUGGCCCUGGCUGGCCGCCCUCCGGCAAGACGUGACUGUCUGCCUGCCUCGGAGGACGUCUGGUCACCUUGCCUUUGCAGCCCGAGGAAGCUGUGUCAUCCUGGCUACGUCCGGAGGUGACUCAGGCAGCUGCUGGGCUGACAGCAGGCCGAACGCUGCCCCGCACCCGCCACGCCCCGUGCCCCUCUGCUCCUGCCACCCAGCUUCAGGCCAGGCCCUGCUCCCCUCAAGCCCCCGGGGGGUCCCCCUCUGGCUUCUGUUCUCCCCCAGCCCAGCUGUGCCAUGCAGGGCUCCAAGCAGCCCAACCUCCAAGUCCAGCCACGGAUGCCCCUGGAGAACCCAGAGCCUGCACGGGCCCCGGAGGCUCGCCCUCUCUCCACACCUGCCCUCCUCCUGGGCCUCCAGCUCAGGUGAUGAUGGCCCCCAGGCCUCACCUCUCCUUCCAUGCCCACCUGCUAGGCUCAGCCUGCAUCACCCUGUAGAUGCUCCGGCCCUACAGCACCGCCUGGGCUCAGGCCCCCUGCAUCUUGUCUGGAUUCGUAUCUCGGUCCCUCAGAUGCAGCCCCCCGAGCAGGCAGAGGGAGCCCCCCUGCCCAGAGUCCCUCCCGAGUCCGCCUCUCUCCUGACCACCUGUUGCCGUGCCAGGCCUCCCCCCCGCCAAAUCUGUGCUGGGUACCCUCCCACUUCCGAGCC
This 1221-nucleotide long non-coding RNA is filed under the name Balaenoptera musculus (blue whale). RNAcentral's name for it is "lncRNA (ENSBMSG00010020092.1)". The record is from RNAcentral. Lineage: Eukaryota; Metazoa; Chordata; Mammalia; Artiodactyla; Balaenopteridae.